RNAcentral lists this small RNA (544 nucleotides) under Pan troglodytes (chimpanzee). RNAcentral describes it as "processed transcript". Lineage: Eukaryota; Metazoa; Chordata; Mammalia; Primates; Hominidae. The record is from RNAcentral.
ACCCAGAGUGUGUUUAAAUUAGUGUCCUAAAUUAAUUACAUUUUUUUUCUGCUGUGUGUUUCUAUUAGGUUUCAGAAAAGGGAUCCCUAACAUCGGAAGAGUUUGCUAAGCUUGUGGGAAUGUCUGUCCUCCUAGCCAAAGAAAGGUUGCUGCUUGCAGAGAAGAUGGGCCAUCUUUGCCGUGAUGACUCAGUGGAAGGCCUGCGUUUUUACCCAAAUUUAUUUAUGACACAGAGCUAAGGGUUUUGUAUUUAAAAUCCUUUUUGUCCAUAUGCUUGCGUCAUGUAGAGGUUGUAUGACAUUGAGCUAAGAGAUAAACCCCGAUCAAUUGAGAAUUUAUUAGAACUUCACAGUGCAAUGUAAAUCUCUUUUAAUUUCUCACUAAAUAUGGUCCAGGAAAUUUAUUUAGUAUACGCAUAGGAAAAUUCAGAAAAGUGAAUGCCAAUAUGAAUUUAAAAUCAUGCUAUAGUGCAGAACCCUCAGAGUUUAACUUGGAAUAUAGUGGAUUUUAACUUGAUCCUCAAAUCUAAUCAUUUUAUAAAGAA